This 449-nucleotide ribosomal RNA is filed under the name uncultured bacterium. Its description in RNAcentral is "partial 16S ribosomal RNA". It matches the Rfam family "Bacterial small subunit ribosomal RNA", at positions 29 to 523 of the family's 1533-position model. The record is from RNAcentral.
AAUGAACGCUGGCGGCAUGCCUAACACAUGCAAGUCGAACGAAGGCUUCGGCCUUAGUGGCGCCCGGGUGCGUAACGCGUGGGAAUCUGCCCUCAGGUUCGGAAUAACAGCGAGAAAUUGCUGCUAAUACCGGAUGAUAUCGCGAGAUCAAAGAUUUAUCGCCUGAGGAUGAGCCCGCGUAGGAUUAGCUAGUUGGUGUGGUAAAGGCGCACCAAGGCGACGAUCCUUAGCUGGUCUGACAGGAUGAUCAGCCACACUGGGACUGAGACACGGCCCAGACUCCUACGGGAGGCAGCAGUGGGGAAUAUUGGACAAUGGGCGAAAGCCUGAUCCAGCAAUGCCGCGUGAGUGAUGAAGGCCUUAGGGUUGUAAAGCUCUUUUACCCGGGAUGAUAAUGACAUUACCGGGAGAAUAAGCUCCGGCUAACUCCGUGCCAGCCGCCGCGGUAA